RNAcentral lists this ribosomal RNA (497 nucleotides) under uncultured bacterium. RNAcentral describes it as "partial 16S ribosomal RNA". It matches the Rfam family "Bacterial small subunit ribosomal RNA", at positions 28 to 507 of the family's 1533-position model. The record is from RNAcentral.
GAUGAACGCUGGCGGCGUGCCUAAUACAUGCAAGUCGAGCGAACAGAUAAGGAGCUUGCUCCUUUGACGUUAGCGGCGGACGGGUGAGUUACACGUGGAUAACCUACCUAUAAGACUGGGAUAACUUCGGGAAACCGGAGCUAAUACCGGAUAACAUAUUGAACCGCAUGGUUCAAUAGAGAAAGGCGGCUUUGCUGUCACUUAUAGAUGGAUCCGCGCCGUAUUAGCUAGUUGGUAAGGUAACGGCUUACCAAGGCAACGAUACGUAGCCGACCUGAGAGGGUGAUCGGCCACACUGGAACUGAGACACGGUCCAGACUCCUACGGGAGGCAGCAGUAGGGAAUCUUCCGCAAUGGGCGAAAGCCUGACGGAGCAACGCCGCGUGAGUGAUGAAGGUCUUCGGAUCGUAAAACUCUGUUAUCAGGGAAGAACAAAUGUGUAAGUAACUGUGCACAUCUUGACGGUACCUGAUCAGAAAGCAACGGCUAACUACGUG